ACCGGAUAAGUCUUUACAGAGAAAGCUUUAUGCACCAUUGGAUGAGCCUGCACUUGAUUAGUUUGUUGGUGGGGUAAUGGCCUACCAAGACUUUGAUCAAUAGCUGAUUUGAGAGGAUGAUCAGCCACAUUGGGACUGAGACACGGCCCAAACUCCUACGGGAGGCAGCAGUGGGGAAUCUUGCACAAUGGAGGAAACUCUGAUGCAGCGAUGCCGCGUGAGUGAAGAAGGCCUUUGGG
This 239-nucleotide ribosomal RNA is filed under the name uncultured Pseudomonadota bacterium. RNAcentral's name for it is "uncultured proteobacterium partial 16S ribosomal RNA". It matches the Rfam family "Bacterial small subunit ribosomal RNA", at positions 168 to 422 of the family's 1533-position model. The record is from RNAcentral. Lineage: Bacteria; Pseudomonadati; Pseudomonadota.